This 194-nucleotide ribosomal RNA is filed under the name uncultured eukaryote. RNAcentral describes it as "partial 18S ribosomal RNA". It matches the Rfam family "Eukaryotic small subunit ribosomal RNA", at positions 1 to 194 of the family's 1831-position model. The record is from RNAcentral.
UUAACCUGGUUGAUCCUGCCAGUAGUCAUAUGCUUGUCUCAAAGAUUAAGCCAUGCAUGUCUAAGUAUAAACUGCUUAUACUGUGAAACUGCGAAUGGCUCAUUAAAUCAGUUAUAGUUUAUUUGAUGGUACCUCUACACGGAUAACCGUAGUAAUUCUAGAGCUAAUACGUGCGUAAAUCCCGACUUCUGGAA